This 468-nucleotide ribosomal RNA is filed under the name uncultured bacterium. Its description in RNAcentral is "partial 16S ribosomal RNA". It matches the Rfam family "Bacterial small subunit ribosomal RNA", at positions 28 to 507 of the family's 1533-position model. The record is from RNAcentral.
GAUGAACGCUGGCGGCGGGCUUAACACAUGCAAGUCGAACGGAAAGGCCCUGCUUUCGUGUGGUGCCCGAGGCGCAAAGGGGUGAGUAACACGUGAGUAUCCUGCCCAUGACUUUGGGAUAACUUCAGGCAACCGGGGAUAACACCGGAUACGAGCUGCAGCUGCAUGGUGGGGGUUGGACCGCUUAGGUGGUUGGGGAUGGACUUGCGGGUAAUCAGCUGGUUGGGUGAGUAGCGGCUUACGAAGGCAUCGAUGGCUAGGCGGCCUGGGAGGGUGAUCGGGCACAAUGGGACUGAGGGACGGCGCAGAGUCGUACGGUAGACAGCGGUGGGGAAUAUUGCACAAUGGGCGGAAGCGUGAUGCAGCAACGCUGCGAGCGGGAUGCCGGCCUUCUGGUUGGAAAGGGCAUUCGCCUGUGACGAUGCUGUAGUGACGGUAAUGGGUGAAGAAGCACCGGCUAACUACGUG